This 504-nucleotide ribosomal RNA is filed under the name uncultured bacterium. RNAcentral describes it as "partial 16S ribosomal RNA". It matches the Rfam family "Bacterial small subunit ribosomal RNA", at positions 29 to 507 of the family's 1533-position model. The record is from RNAcentral.
ACGAACGCUGGCGGCGUGCCUAAUACAUGCAAGUAGAACGCACAGUUUAUACCGUAGCUUGCUACACCAUAAACUGUGAGUUGCGAACGGGUGAGUAACGCGUAGGUAACCUGCCUGGUAGCGGGGGAUAACUAUUGGAAACGAUAGCUAAUACCGCAUAAUAUUGAUUAUUGCAUGAUAAUUGAUUGAAAGAUGCUAUUGCAUCACUACCAGAUGGACCUGCGUUGUAUUAGCUAGUAGGUGAGGUAACGGCUCACCUAGGCGACGAUACAUAGCCGACCUGAGAGGGUGAUCGGCCAAACUGGGACUGAGACACGGCCCAGACUCCUACGGGAGGCAGCAGUAGGGAAUCUUCGGCAAUGGACGAAAGUCUGACCGAGCAACGCCGCGUGAGUGAAGAAGGUUUUCGGAUCGUAAAGCUCUGUUGUAAGAGAAGAACGGGUGUGAGAGUGGAAAGUUCACACUGUGACGGUAUCUUACCAGAAAGGGACGGCUAACUACGUG